UAACACUUGCUCACUUUAUACAGCUAGCAGGUGAGCUCCAAAUAGAACAGAAAGAGUCAACAGGAGGAGGAGAAGAGCUGAACUCCACUGAAUCUCUGGUCUAGACAUAGGCCACUACAUGAACUCCCUGGCUAACAGACAUGCUAGACUCUCUGGAGAGACUUGCUGGUACAUGUGCAAAUCUUGACAGAAUUUACUAUCUUAUUCUUAAAAUCUGAAGCCCUGAAGUCUACACCAUGCUUUCUUUAUAAGGAAGAGCAGCCCCUUGCAACUAGCUGGUGGGGGCUUGGAACCAUGGUGGAUUGGCAGCC
Long non-coding RNA from Mauremys reevesii (Reeves's turtle), 311 nucleotides. RefSeq lists it as uncharacterized. The record is from RefSeq and is a predicted model, not a curated record. Lineage: Eukaryota; Metazoa; Chordata; Testudines; Geoemydidae. The transcript is spliced from 3 exons.